UGGGCCCGCGUUUCAUUAGCUAGUUGGUAGGGUAACGGCCUACCAAGGCGACGAUGGUUAGCUGGUCUGAGAGGAUGAUCAGCCACACUGGAACUGGAACACGGUCCAGACUCCUACGGGAGGCAGCAGUGAGGAAUUUUGCGCAAUGGGGGAAACCCUGACGCAGCAACGCCGCGUGAGCGAAGAAGGCCUUCGGGUCGUAAAGCUCUGUCAAGUGGGAAAAAAAUCUUUUGAUCAAUAGUCAAAAGACUUGAUGGUACCACUGGAGGAAGCACCGGCUAACUCCGUGCCAGCAGCCGCGGUAAUACGGAGGGUGCAAGCGUUGUUCGGAUUUACUGGGCGUAAAGGGCGCGUAGGUGGGUCGGUAAGUCGAACGUGAAAACUGUUGGCUCAACCAGCAGAUUGCGUUCGAAACUGUCGGCCUUGAGUACGGGAGAGGAGAGCGGAAUCGACAGUGGAGCGGUGAAAUGCGUAGAUAUUGUCGAGAACACCGGUGGCGAAGGCGGCUCUCUGGCCUGAUACUGGCACUGAUGCGCGAAAGCUAGGGGAGCAAACAGGAUUAGAUACCCUGGUAGUCCACGCUGUAAACGAUGGACACUAGGUG
Molecule: ribosomal RNA, 604 nt
Filed under: uncultured sulfate-reducing bacterium
Lineage: Bacteria
Description: bacterial SSU rRNA
Rfam family: Bacterial small subunit ribosomal RNA
Source: RNAcentral